CCGGCGGUAGCUCAGCUGGUAGAGCGGGGGGCUGUAGAUGGUGCAGUGAUCCUCAGGUUGGUGGUUCGAGUCCGCCCCGCCGGA
RNAcentral lists this transfer RNA (84 nucleotides) under Paragonimus westermani. RNAcentral's name for it is "tRNA-Tyr". It matches the Rfam family "tRNA". From Rfam's summary of the family: Transfer RNA (tRNA) molecules are approximately 80 nucleotides in length. Their secondary structure includes four short double-helical elements and three loops (D, anti-codon, and T loops). The record is from RNAcentral. Lineage: Eukaryota; Metazoa; Platyhelminthes; Trematoda; Plagiorchiida; Troglotrematidae.